RNAcentral lists this transfer RNA (72 nucleotides) under Phormosoma bursarium. RNAcentral describes it as "tRNA-Ala". It matches the Rfam family "tRNA". Rfam says of the family: Transfer RNA (tRNA) molecules are approximately 80 nucleotides in length. Their secondary structure includes four short double-helical elements and three loops (D, anti-codon, and T loops). Lineage: Eukaryota; Metazoa; Echinodermata; Echinoidea; Echinothurioida; Phormosomatidae. The record is from RNAcentral.
UGUGGUUUUAGUUUAGCUAAAAAUUUUUGCUUUGCAAGCAAGGGAUCUAAGUUAGAUUCUUAGAAACUACAG